UACGAAGGGUGCAAGCGCUGUUCGGAAUUACUGGGCGUAAAGGGUUUGUAGGCUGAAAUGUAAGUCAAGUGUGAAAUCCCCGAGCUAAACUUGGGACGUGCAUUUGAAACUGUGUUUCUUGAGUAUCGUAGAGGGUGGUGGAAUUGUAGGUGUAGGAGUGACAUCCGUAGAGAUCUGCAGGAACAUCAGAGGCGAAGGCGACCACCUGGCCGAUUACUGACGCUGAGGAACGAAAGCGUGGGGAGCAAACAGG
Molecule: ribosomal RNA, 253 nt
Filed under: uncultured bacterium
Lineage: Bacteria
Description: partial 16S ribosomal RNA
Rfam family: Bacterial small subunit ribosomal RNA
Source: RNAcentral